This 271-nucleotide ribosomal RNA is filed under the name uncultured archaeon. RNAcentral describes it as "partial 16S ribosomal RNA". It matches the Rfam family "Archaeal small subunit ribosomal RNA", at positions 60 to 334 of the family's 1478-position model. The record is from RNAcentral.
CUUUGUAGUAAUACAAGGCAUACGGCUCAGUAACGCGUAGUCAACCUACCCUAUGGACGGGGAUAAUCUCGGGAAACUGAGCAUAAUACCCGGCAGACCACUUAUCCUGGAAUGGUUAGUGGUUAAAAUGAUUCGUCGCCAUAGGAUGGGACUGCGGCCUAUCAGCUUGUUGGUGAGGUAAUGGCCCACCAAGGCGAUUACAGGUACGGGCUCUGAGAGGAGAGGCCCGGAGAUGGGUACUGAGACAAGGACCCACGCCCUAUGGGGCGCA